This 301-nucleotide ribosomal RNA is filed under the name uncultured bacterium. RNAcentral's name for it is "partial 16S ribosomal RNA". It matches the Rfam family "Bacterial small subunit ribosomal RNA", at positions 509 to 807 of the family's 1533-position model. The record is from RNAcentral.
CAGUCGCCACGGUAAUACGGAGGGUGCAAGCGUUACUCGGAAUCACUGGGCGUAAAGGACGCGUAGGCGGAUUAUCAAGUCUCUUGUGAAAUCUAACGGCUUAACCGUUAAACUGCUUGGGAAACUGAUAAUCUAGAGUAAGGGAGAGGCAGAUGGAAUUCUUGGUGUAGGGGUAAAAUCCGUAGAUAUCAAGAAGAAUACCUAUUGCGAAGGCGAUCUGCUGGAACUUAACUGACGCUAAUGCGUGAAAGCGUGGGGAGCAAACAGGAUUAGAUACCCGCGUAGUCCCUGUCUCUUAUAC